GAAAGUAAACAAGGGCGCAUGGAGGAUGCCUAGGCUCUCGGAGGCGAAGAAGGACGUGAUAAGCUGCGAAAAGUUACGGUAAGGCGCAAAUAGCCCUAGACCCGUAAAUAUCCGAAUGGGGCAACCCGGCCAGCAAUGGUCAUACCGCCAAGCGGUAAGCCAACGCGGGGAACUGAAACAUCUAAGUACCCGCAGGAAAAGAAAAUAACAAUGAUUCCGCCAGUAGUGGCGAGCGAACGCGGAACAGCCCAAACCACUCGUGUUACGGCACGAGUGGGGUAGAAGGAUCCACGAUACGGCAAGAAAUAAGUUAGCAGAAUACGAUGGAAAUCGUAGCCAAAGACGGUGACAGCCCAGUACGCGAAAACCGACAGAAGCCCAGUGGACACCUGAGUAACCCAGGACACGAGAAAUCCGGGGCGAAUCAGCGGGGCCCAUCCCGUAAGGCUAAAUACUCCCGAGAGACCGAUAGCGAACCAGUACUGUGAAGGAAAGGUGAAAAGAACCUCGAACAGAGGAGUGAAACAGACCCUGAAACCAUGCGCCUACAAGCGGUCGGAGCAUGUUAAAAUGUGACGGCGUGCCUUUUGCAUAAUGAACCUACGAGUUACUCUCGCUGGCAAGGUUAAGCGAUUCAGUCGCGCAGCCGAAGCGAAAGCAAGUCCGAACAAGGCGUACAGUCAGCGGGAGUAGACGCGAAACCAAGUGAUCUACCCUUGGUCAGGUUGAAGGUUGGGUAACACCAACUGGAGGACCGCACCGAUAAGCGUUGAAAAGCUUACGGAUGAACUGAGGGUAGGAGUGAAAGGCCAAUCAAACUUGGAGAUAGCUCGUACUCCCCGAAAUGCAUUUAGGUGCAGCCUCGAAGUAAAGUGAUAGAGGUAGAGCGACUGAUAAGAUGCGAGGGCUUCACCGCCUAUCAAGUCUUGACAAACUCCGAAUACUAUCACUUGAUCUUUGGGAGUGAGGGCAUGGGUGCUAAGGUCCAUGUCCGAAAGAGGAACAACUCAGACCACCAGCUAAGGUCCCGAAAUAAGGGCUAAGUUGAAUAAACGAAGUAAAACUGCAAAGACAGCUAGGAUGUUGGCUUGGAAGCAGCCAUUCAUUUAAAGAGUGCGUAACAGCUCACUAGUCGAGGAGUUUUGCAUGGAUAAUAAUCGGGCAUAAGCCCUUUACCGAAGCUGUGGAUGUCGUAAGACAUGGUAGGGGAGCAUUCCGGCGGCGACGAAGGCCGUCCUCGAGGACGACUGGAGCUUUCGGAAAAGCAAAUGUAGGUAUAAGUAACGAUAAAGGGGGCGUGAAACCCCCUCGCCAUAAGACUAAGGAUUCCUGAUCAACGCUAAUCGGAUCAGGGUAAGUCGGGCCCUAAGGCGCAGCCGAACGGCGUAGCCGAUGGAAGAAACGGUAAAGAUUCCGUUACUGGAUAUAGGAGCGAUGUGGAGACGGAGAAGUGACACACCCGCCUGCCGACGGAAGCGCAGGUUAAAGGAAGUAGGUAAACGCCGGGUAGGCAAAUCCGCCUGGCGUGCCGAAACUGACAGUAUCGAGAGCCCCCGGGCAAUCGAAUAGCGGUGGUAAUCAGGCUCCCAAGAAAAUCCGCUAAGCAUAUUCUAUAUCCACCCGUACCCCAAACGGACACACGUAGUCGGGUAGAAUAUACCAAGGCGCUCGAAAGACUCACGGUUAAGGAACUAGGCAAAUUGACCCUGUAACCUCGGGAAAAAGGGUCCCCAGUAAGAUGGGGCGCAGAGAAUAGGUCCAGGCAACUGUUUAACAAAAACACAGGGCUGUGCGAAAUUUCAAGAUGAAGUAUACAGCCUGACACCUGCCCGGUGCCGGAAGGUUAAGAGGAGAGCUAAUCGCAAGAGAAGGCUUGAAUUGAAGCCCCGGUAAACGGCGGCCGUAACUAUAACGGUCCUAAGGUAGCGAAAUUCCUUGUCGGGUAAGUUCCGACCUGCACGAAUGGUGUAAUGAUCUGGACACUGUCUCAACCGUGACUUCGGUGAAAUUGUAGUAUCGGUGAAGAUGCCGAUUACCCGCAACGGGACGAAAAGACCCCGUGAACCUUUACUGCAACUUAGCAUUGCGUUUGGGCAUUUGAUGUGUAGGAUAGUCCGGAGGCUACGAGUCGGCACGCCAGUCGUCGAGGAGCCGCUGUUGAAAUACGGACCUUCGAAUGUUUGAGCGCUAACUCGCAGGAGCGAGGACACUGUUUGGUGGGUAGUUUGACUGGGGUGGUCGCCUCCA
Molecule: ribosomal RNA, 2247 nt
Filed under: human gut metagenome
Description: bacterial LSU rRNA
Rfam family: Bacterial large subunit ribosomal RNA
Source: RNAcentral